RNAcentral lists this ribosomal RNA (465 nucleotides) under uncultured bacterium. RNAcentral's name for it is "bacterial SSU rRNA". It matches the Rfam family "Bacterial small subunit ribosomal RNA", at positions 338 to 795 of the family's 1533-position model. The record is from RNAcentral.
CCUACGGGUUGCAGCAGUGGGGAAUAUUGCACAAUGGGCGCAAGCCUGAUGCAGCCAUGCCGCGUGUAUGAAGAAGGCCUUCGGGUUGUAAAGUACUUUCAGUCGGGAGGAAGGUGGUGAGCUUAAUACGCUCAUCAAUUGACGUUACCGACAGAAGAAGCACCGGCUAACUCCGUGCCAGCAGCCGCGGUAAUACGGAGGGUGCAAGCGUUAAUCGGAAUUACUGGGCGUAAAGCGCACGCAGGCGGUUGAUUGAGUCAGAUGUGAAAUCCCCGGGCUUAACCCGGGAAUUGCAUCUGAUACUGGUCAGCUAGAGUCUUGUAGAGGGGGGUAGAAUUCCAUGUGUAGCGGUGAAAUGCGUAGAGAUGUGGAGGAAUACCGGUGGCGAAGGCGGCCCCCUGGACAAAGACUGACGCUCAGGUGCGAAAGCGUGGGGAGCAAACAGGAUUAGAUACCCCUGUAGUC